ACGUAGGGUGCGAGCGUUAAUCGGAAUUACUGGGCGUAAAGCGUGCGCAGGCGGUUGUAUAAAUCAGAUGGGAAAUCCCCGGGGUCAAACUGGGAACAGCAUUUGAGACUGUACGGCUAGAGUGUGGCAGAGGGGGGUAGAAUUCCACGUGUAGCAGUGAAAUGCGUAGAGAUGUGGAGGAAUCCCGAUGGCGAAGGCAGCCCCCUGGGCCAAUACUGACUCUCAUGCACGAAAGCGUGGGGAGCAAACAG
RNAcentral lists this ribosomal RNA (251 nucleotides) under uncultured prokaryote. Its description in RNAcentral is "partial 16S rRNA". It matches the Rfam family "Bacterial small subunit ribosomal RNA", at positions 525 to 775 of the family's 1533-position model. The record is from RNAcentral.